AUGAUGGAAGCUGGGGUUCAUUUUGGCCAUGAGCCUAGGAAAUGGAAUCCUCGAAUGGCACCUUUUAUAUCGGGAAAACGUAAAGAAACGAGACUUCGUGAGUUUAGGGACUUGAGAACGGAGCAAAAGACAGGGAAACUGAACUCUCUUCCAAAAAGAGAUGCCACUAUGUUGAAGAGACAAUUAUCUCAUUUGGAAAGAUAUCUAGGCGGUAUAAAAUAUAUGACAAGAUUACUUGAUAUUGUAAUAAUCCUUGAUCGGCAAGAAGAAUAUACGGCUCUUCAAGAAUGA
Molecule: non-coding RNA, 291 nt
Organism: Vicia faba (fava bean)
Lineage: Eukaryota; Viridiplantae; Streptophyta; Magnoliopsida; Fabales; Fabaceae
Source: the annotation of a GenBank genome assembly